Molecule: ribosomal RNA, 548 nt
Filed under: uncultured bacterium
Lineage: Bacteria
Description: partial 16S ribosomal RNA
Rfam family: Bacterial small subunit ribosomal RNA
Source: RNAcentral
UGGGGAAUUUUGGACAAUGGGGGCAACCCUGAUCCAGCCAUCCCGCGUGUGCGAUGAAGGCCUUCGGGUUGUAAAGCACUUUUUGGCAGGGAAGAAACAGCCUGGGACAAUACCCCGGGCGACUGACGGUACCUGCAGAAUAAGCACCGGCUAACUACGUGCCAGCAGCCGCGGUAAUACGUAGGGUGCAAGCGUUAAUCGGAAUUACUGGGCGUAAAGCGUGCGCAGGCGGUUCGGAAAGAAAGGUGUGAAAUCCCAGGGCUUAACCUUGGAACUGCACUUUUAACUACCGAGCUAGAGUACGUCAGAGGGGGGUAGAAUUCCACGUGUAGCAGUGAAAUGCGUAGAGAUGUGGAGGAAUACCGAUGGCGAAGGCAGCCCCCUGGGAUGAUACUGACGCUCAUGCACGAAAGCGUGGGGAGCAAACAGGAUUAGAUACCCUGGUAGUCCACGCCCUAAACGAUGUCAACUAGCUGUUGGGGUUUAUUAACCUUAGUAGCGCAGCUAACGCGUGAAGUUGACCGCCUGGGGAGUACGGUCGCAAGAUU